UACGGAGGGUGCGAGCGUUGUUCGGAAUUAUUGGGCGUAAAGGGCGCGUAGGCGGUGCGGUAAGUCACCUGUGAAAUCUCCUGGCUCAACUGGGAGCUUGCAGGCGAAACUGCCGUGCUGGAGUGUGGGAGAGGUGCGUGGAAUUCCUGGUGUAGCGGUGAAAUGCGUAGAUAUCAGGAGGAACACCUGUGGCGAAAGCGGCGCACUGGACCACAACUGACGCUGAGGCGCGAAAGCUAGGGGAGCAAACGGG
RNAcentral lists this ribosomal RNA (253 nucleotides) under uncultured bacterium. RNAcentral describes it as "partial 16S ribosomal RNA". It matches the Rfam family "Bacterial small subunit ribosomal RNA", at positions 524 to 776 of the family's 1533-position model. The record is from RNAcentral.